Molecule: ribosomal RNA, 235 nt
Filed under: uncultured bacterium
Lineage: Bacteria
Description: partial 16S ribosomal RNA
Rfam family: Bacterial small subunit ribosomal RNA
Source: RNAcentral
CGCACGGGCGAGUAACACGUAUCCAACCUGCCGUCUACUCUUGGACAGCCUUCUGAAAGGAAGAUUAAUACAAGAUGGCAUCAUGAGUCCGCAUGUUCACAUGAUUAAAGGUAUUCCGGUAGACGAUGGGGAUGCGUUCCAUUAGAUAGUAGGCGGGGUAACGGCCCACCUAGUCUUCGAUGGAUAGGGGUUCUGAGAGGAAGGUCCCCCACAUUGGAACUGAGACACGGUCCAA